AAUGGAUCUGCCUUCAGUGUUUGGAACAUCAAUGGUCACUUAAUCCCCCUGUUUCAGAAAUGCAGCCUCUGAAAUCCUCCUGGAGCCCCUGAUACAGAGACCCUCUUUUUCACCUGAGCCAGAGACUCAACCUCCAGACUUCUGCUGAGAAUGGGGAUGGCCCCAACCUGACCCUGAGCAGCAUGAAUGUGUGCUAAAAAUAGCAGCUAUACAAUGCGGCAGGCGGCCCGGCGAGACUCUGCGUUUAAAUGGUUUUCUUACCAGCGGUUUCAGAGCACUUUCCUCUCAUGAAUUAACCCUCAGAGGAGCCCUGGAAGGGAGCUGACCAUCUUGGCUCAAAAUCCUCUUCAUGAUUACUCCACAGUGUCUGGAUUCCCUCAUACUAACAGGGCUGCUGGACAUCCCAGAGUUCCUAAGAUGCUUAGACUCAUUAAGUUCAACUCUAACCCUCAAAAAGGAGGAUGAUAGACAGGAAGAAGAACCCUUGAGUCUGACAUACUGCUGCACUUAAAUGACACGGAAUUAGCUUUUGGCUUUUGCAUAUAAGCCCUGGCACUGCAUUGCGCGGUCCUGUUGAACAGAAGAUAAGUGCGACAGUUUCAUCUCCAGAUAAUUCAGUCCUUAUUAUUUCUAAGUAUUUUUUGGGUGUUUAUAUU
RNAcentral lists this long non-coding RNA (656 nucleotides) under Equus caballus (horse). RNAcentral's name for it is "lncRNA (ENSECAG00000036218.2)". The record is from RNAcentral. Lineage: Eukaryota; Metazoa; Chordata; Mammalia; Perissodactyla; Equidae.